CAGAACAUGAAGAGUUAAAGCCAUUUGUUUUCACACCUCAUCUCAUUGUCAUCACACCUCACUUUGAAGAAAUAACACCAGUGAGCAAAUUUCCUGUGAUUUUUCUCUUCUGUCAACAACUCUUGACUUACAGAUGUACCUUGCUUUAUUGAUGAAAAUGAAAAGCUAUAUCCUUUGAUGUCAGACAAACUCAUGUGUGCUUUAUCUUGGGCAGCUGAUGAAGCAUUUUCUAGUAGGACCUAUUUAUUCUUCCUGCUUUUUUGCAGCACUAUGAAAGCCAAUUAGAGAAGGAGCUAUCAAUGACAGAGGUGGAUUCUGUUACUGCAUAAGGAAUGAGUUCUGCCAACUUUAUGAGAAAGCACUGUGGAGCAGUGGGCACAACAUCCUCCUGGUACAGUUCAUGGGAUUGCCUGGUACUUGCUCCUUCUGUGACGACUAUCUCAAUGAACAUUGUGAGCCCUACUGCUGAGCUAUCACAGUUUAUCAUGCGAAAAGUACUUCUGAGGCAAAAGAGAGCCAGAGUCAGCAAAGGCAAUAGCACUCACUAAUGAGGUACUGACAUUGCACCAUUUAAGAGUUUCUGGCUUUGGAAAAAUUUGAGGAUCCUUAAAGUGUUCAACUACAAUUAGAAAUUUCCAAAGAAAUCUGACGUUCUGUGAAAUAUUUUUGUUGAUGAAAAUAAUUCUUGGUUAGUGCUCUUUGACAAGCCAACUGGUAUAAGCUUCUGUCUUUUUCCUUCAUUUGAAAAAAAUAUACUCAUCUUUCAGUUGGCCAUUAUAAGAAUUGGAUACUUUGAGGGAACAUCUAUCACAUCCAUAGAAGAAUUGUCCUAAUAAUUAGUUAUUCACAAUGUUUUAUUUUUCCAUGUGCAUCCAGUUUAAAAUUAUCAAGAUUUAACUUCCUGGAAUUGUUUCUUAUGUCCAUACUGCUAGUUUAGGACCCA
Molecule: long non-coding RNA, 943 nt
Filed under: Apteryx rowi (Okarito brown kiwi)
Lineage: Eukaryota; Metazoa; Chordata; Aves; Apterygiformes; Apterygidae
Description: lncRNA (ENSARWG00000002193.1)
Source: RNAcentral